UACGGAGGGUGCAAACGUUGCUCGGAAUCAUUGGGCGUAAAGCGCACGUAGGCGGCCGACUAAGUCAGGUGUGAAAGCCCUCGGCUCAACCGAGGAAGUGCACUUGAAACUGGCCGGCUUGAAUAUGGAAGAGGGUUGCGGAAUUCCCGGUGUAGAGGUGAAAUUCGUAGAUAUCGGGAGGAACACCAGUGGCGAAGGCGGCAACCUGGGCCAAUAUUGACGCUGAGGUGCGAAAGCGUGGGGAGCAAACAGG
RNAcentral lists this ribosomal RNA (253 nucleotides) under uncultured bacterium. RNAcentral's name for it is "partial 16S ribosomal RNA". It matches the Rfam family "Bacterial small subunit ribosomal RNA", at positions 524 to 776 of the family's 1533-position model. The record is from RNAcentral.